RNAcentral lists this ribosomal RNA (652 nucleotides) under uncultured archaeon. Its description in RNAcentral is "bacterial SSU rRNA". It matches the Rfam family "Archaeal small subunit ribosomal RNA", at positions 207 to 859 of the family's 1478-position model. The record is from RNAcentral.
GGAUGGGUCUGCGGCCGAUUAGGUAGUUGGUUAGGUAAUGGCUUACCAAGCCGUUGAUCGGUACGGGUUGUGAGAGCAAGAGCCCGGAGAUGGAACCUGAGACAAGGUUCCAGGCCCUACGGGGUGCAGCAGGCGCGAAACCUCCGCAAUGUGAGAAAUCGCGACGGGGGGAUCCCAAGUGCUAUUCUUAACGGGAUGGCUUUUCAUUAGUGUAAAGAGCUUUUGGAAUAAGGGCUGGGCAAGACCGGUGCCAGCCGCCGCGGUAACACCGGCAGCUCUAGUGGUAGCAGUUUUUAUUGGGCCUAAAGCGUCCGUAGCCGGUUUAAUAAGUCUCUGGUGAAAUCCUGUAGCUUAACUGUGGGAAUUGCUGGAGAUACUAUUAGACUUGAGACCGGGAGAGGUUAGAGGUACUCCCAGGGUAGAGGUGAAAUUCUGUAAUCCUGGGAGGACCGCCUGUUGCGAAGGCGUCUAACUGGAACGGUUCUGACGGUGAGGGACGAAAGUUAGGGGCGCGAACCGGAUUAGAUACCCGGGUAGUCCUAACUGUAAACGAUGCGGACUUGGUGUUGGGGUGGCUUUGAGCUGCUCCAGUGCCGAAGGGAAGCUGUUAAGUCCGCCGCCUGGGAAGUACGGUCGCAAGACUGAAACUUAA